RNAcentral lists this ribosomal RNA (2659 nucleotides) under Salmonella enterica. RNAcentral's name for it is "partial 23S ribosomal RNA". It matches the Rfam family "Bacterial large subunit ribosomal RNA". The record is from RNAcentral. Lineage: Bacteria; Pseudomonadati; Pseudomonadota; Gammaproteobacteria; Enterobacterales; Enterobacteriaceae.
UCGUCACACUAUCAUUAACUGAAUCCAUAGGUUAAUGAGGCGAACCGGGGGAACUGAAACAUCUAAGUACCCCGAGGAAAAGAAAUCAACCGAGAUUCCCCCAGUAGCGGCGAGCGAACGGGGAGGAGCCCAGAGCCUGAAUCAGCAUGUGUGUUAGUGGAAGCGUCUGGAAAGGCGCGCGAUACAGGGUGACAGCCCCGUACACAAAAGCGCAUGUGCUGUGAGCUCGAUGAGUAGGGCGGGACACGUGGUAUCCUGUCUGAAUAUGGGGGGACCAUCCUCCAAGGCUAAAUACUCCUGACUGACCGAUAGUGAACCAGUACCGUGAGGGAAAGGCGAAAAGAACCCCGGCGAGGGGAGUGAAAAAGAACCUGAAACCGUGUACGUACAAGCAGUGGGAGCACCCUUUGGGUGUGACUGCGUACCUUUUGUAUAAUGGGUCAGCGACUUAUAUUCUGUAGCAAGGUUAACCGAAUAGGGGAGCCGGAGGGAAACCGAGUCUUAAUUGGGCGUUAAGUUGCAGGGUAUAGACCCGAAACCCGGUGAUCUAGCCAUGGGCAGGUUGAAGGUUGGGUAACACUAACUGGAGGACCGAACCGACUAAUGUUGAAAAAUUAGCGGAUGACCUGUGGCUGGGGGUGAAAGGCCAAUCAAACCGGGAGAUAGCUGGUUCUCCCCGAAAGCUAUUUAGGUAGCGCCUCGUGAAUUCAUCUCCGGGGGUAGAGCACUGUUUCGGCUAGGGGGCCAUCCCGGCUUACCAACCCGAUGCAAACUGCGAAUACCGGAGAAUGUUAUCACGGGAGACACACGGCGGGUGCUAACGUCCGUCGUGAAGAGGGAAACAACCCAGACCGCCAGCUAAGGUCCCAAAGUCAUGGUUAAGUGGGAAACGAUGUGGGAAGGCCCAGACAGCCAGGAUGUUGGCUUAGAAGCAGCCAUCAUUUAAAGAAAGCGUAAUAGCUCACUGGUCGAGUCGGCCUGCGCGGAAGAUGUAACGGGGCUAAACCAUGCACCGAAGCUGCGGCAGCGACACUGUGUGUUGUUGGGUAGGGGAGCGUUCUGUAAGCCUGUGAAGGUGUGUCGUGAGGCAUGCUGGAGGUAUCAGAAGUGCGAAUGCUGACAUAAGUAACGAUAAAGCGGGUGAAAAGCCCGCUCGCCGGAAGACCAAGGGUUCCUGUCCAACGUUAAUCGGGGCAGGGUGAGUCGACCCCUAAGGCGAGGCCGAAAGGCGUAGUCGAUGGGAAACGGGUUAAUAUUCCCGUACUUGGUGUUACUGCGAAGGGGGGACGGAGAAGGCUAUGUUGGCCGGGCGACGGUUGUCCCGGUUUAAGCGUGUAGGUGUGUGUUCCAGGUAAAUCCGGUUCACUUUAACACUGAGGCGUGACGACGAGGCACUACGGUGCUGAAGCAACAAAUGCCCUGCUUCCAGGAAAAGCCUCUAAGCAUCAGGUAACAUCAAAUCGUACCCCAAACCGACACAGGUGGUCAGGUAGAGAAUACCAAGGCGCUUGAGAGAACUCGGGUGAAGGAACUAGGCAAAAUGGUGCCGUAACUUCGGGAGAAGGCACGCUGACACGUAGGUGAAGUGAUUUACUCAUGGAGCUGAAGUCAGUCGAAGAUACCAGCUGGCUGCAACUGUUUAUUAAAAACACAGCACUGUGCAAACACGAAAGUGGACGUAUACGGUGUGACGCCUGCCCGGUGCCGGAAGGUUAAUUGAUGGGGUCAGCGCAAGCGAAGCUCCUGAUCGAAGCCCCGGUAAACGGCGGCCGUAACUAUAACGGUCCUAAGGUAGCGAAAUUCCUUGUCGGGUAAGUUCCGACCUGCACGAAUGGCGUAAUGAUGGCCAGGCUGUCUCCACCCGAGACUCAGUGAAAUUGAACUCGCUGUGAAGAUGCAGUGUACCCGCGGCAAGACGGAAAGACCCCGUGAACCUUUACUAUAGCUUGACACUGAACAUUGAGCCUUGAUGUGUAGGAUAGGUGGGAGGCUUUGAAGUGUGGACGCCAGUCUGCAUGGAGCCGACCUUGAAAUACCACCCUUUAAUGUUUGAUGUUCUAACGUGGACCCGUUACCCGGGUUGCGGACAGUGUCUGGUGGGUAGUUUGACUGGGGCGGUCUCCUCCUAAAGAGUAACGGAGGAGCACGAAGGUUGGCUAAUCCUGGUCGGACAUCAGGAGGUUAGUGCAAUGGCAUAAGCCAGCUUGACUGCGAGCGUGACGGCGCGAGCAGGUGCGAAAGCAGGUCAUAGUGAUCCGGUGGUUCUGAAUGGAAGGGCCAUCGCUCAACGGAUAAAAGGUACUCCGGGGAUAACAGGCUGAUACCGCCCAAGAGUUCAUAUCGACGGCGGUGUUUGGCACCUCGAUGUCGGCUCAUCACAUCCUGGGGCUGAAGUAGGUCCCAAGGGUAUGGCUGUUCGCCAUUUAAAGUGGUACGCGAGCUGGGUUUAGAACGUCGUGAGACAGUUCGGUCCCUAUCUGCCGUGGGCGCUGGAGAACUGAGGGGGGCUGCUCCUAGUACGAGAGGACCGGAGUGGACGCAUCACUGGUGUUCGGGUUGUCAUGCCAAUGGCACUGCCCGGUAGCUAAAUGCGGAAGAGAUAAGUGCUGAAAGCAUCUAAGCACGAAACUUGCCCCGAGAUGAGUUCUCCCUGAGACUU